This 442-nucleotide ribosomal RNA is filed under the name uncultured Aminicenantes bacterium. Its description in RNAcentral is "bacterial SSU rRNA". It matches the Rfam family "Bacterial small subunit ribosomal RNA", at positions 945 to 1382 of the family's 1533-position model. The record is from RNAcentral. Lineage: Bacteria; Candidatus Aminicenantota.
UUUAAUUCGAUGCAACGCGAAGAACCCUACCUGGGCUUUGACAUCCCUGGAAUCCCCUGGAAACAGGGGAGUGCCCUUCGGGGAGCCCAGGAGACAGGUGCUGCAUGGCUGUCGUCAGCUCGUGUCGUGAGAUGUUGGGUUAAGUCCCGCAACGAGCGCAACCCUUGCCAUUAGUUGUCAGCGAGUCAUGUCGGAUACUCUAAUGGGACUGCCGGUGACGAGCCGGAGGAAGGUGGGAUGACGUCAAGUCAGCAUGGCCUUUAUGUCCAGGGCCACACACGUGCUACAAUGGACGGUACAGAGGGACGCAAGACCGCAAGGUGGAGCAAAUCCUCAAAACCGUUCUCAGUUCGGAUUGUAGGCUGCAAUUCGCCUACAUGAAGCUGGAAUUGCUAGUAAUCGCAGAUCAGCUACGCUCGCGGUCGAAUACGUUCCGGGCCUU